GGGGCAUCCACAGCCUCCUUGGGCAACCUGUUCCAGUGUGUCAUCACCCUCUGAGUGAUGAUGUGGGCUGUCCUUACGCCUGUGGUCACUGUCAGCUCACAGGCACACACACCGGGCUCUGUGAGCGCAGGGAGCUGCCCCAGGGGCACACAGCCACCUACGGCUCCUUCUGCAGAGCUGACCCACUGGGUUGGACCCACUGCUGGCUUUUGGCACAGAUGCUUCAUGUGCCCUAAGACCUGGUCAGAACUGUUAAUGUCACUGUAUCCCUUACGCCAGAGUUUCUUCUGCAACAGGGUGGUUUUUAUCCUCAGUAUUGGAGCAUGGCCUGCACUGCUCUUCCCACCCAAUAGAGUCAAAGUAUGUUAUUCAUUAUUCACCGAAAGGUACUUUAAUAUUUCACCUGAGUUUCAUUAAUGGGACAGGGAAUGGAAAGGCUAAGUUUUAAUGCUAUGGAAGGGACGGCAGCCAUCCAAACUGGAGUGGGCUCACAAGACACAGACUUGCAGGAAGCAGCAUCAUAACCCUCACCAGGGAUAAAACCUGGCAUUUAGGGAAGCGGCUGUCAGGCACUCAUCCUGCAUCUCUCUUCAACAUCCUUAUGAGCCACGGACUCAGGCCAGCGCACACAGUCAAACGAAGCCAGUGUCAGACAGCAGUCCGCUUGUCUGAAAGAUGCAGGUCCUGCCAACCCUGUGACUCUCCACAGCAGAAAAGCCUUCUGUUUUGUCGUACUGCUGUCCUGCAUGCAGCAAAUUUGCGCUGGGAUUCUGCUGCGGAUGGCAUUUGCUUUCACUCAUAGCAGUGAAUGGUUUAUGACGGUUUGCUUCAAAGGUACAUGCAUUAUCAGGAUGGGAGAGUGGGCAAAAAGAGUGCAA
This 878-nucleotide long non-coding RNA is filed under the name Gallus gallus (chicken). Its description in RNAcentral is "lncRNA (ENSGALG00010003418.1)". Lineage: Eukaryota; Metazoa; Chordata; Aves; Galliformes; Phasianidae. The record is from RNAcentral.